RNAcentral lists this long non-coding RNA (336 nucleotides) under Monodelphis domestica (gray short-tailed opossum). RNAcentral's name for it is "lncRNA (ENSMODG00000042890.1)". Lineage: Eukaryota; Metazoa; Chordata; Mammalia; Didelphimorphia; Didelphidae. The record is from RNAcentral.
CUCAAAGUCAUGUGGAGAUUUUUUUGAAUGCUAAUUCCAUUGUCCAGCAUGUUAGCUUCAUCUGCACCUUUGAUAAUUCUUCAAUCAAUGCUGAAUCUACUCAAUUAUAUUAUCAACAGAGAGGCAAGGGAUGCAAAGAGAGAAGUGGAAGAAUGGAAGAUUAAGGAAGAAUUGAGCACAGGAGGAUUAAAAUCCUUUCAGAGAGGAAAUCCCGCUGGAUUGGGAGGCAGCAGCCUGGAGCUGUGCAGACAACUUUAACGCCCGUGUGGAAGUGAGCAAGCAUUCCGCCUCUCCAAGCUCUACAAAUGGGAGCGUUGUAGAGAUGACUCCUCUGGU